AUUGAACGCUGGCGGCAUGCUUUACACAUGCAAGUCGAACGGUAACAGGCCGCAAGGUGCUGACGAGUGGCGAACGGGUGAGUAAUGCAUCGGAACGUGCCCAGUCGUGGGGGAUAACGCAGCGAAAGCUGUGCUAAUACCGCAUACGAUCUAUGGAUGAAAGCGGGGGACCGUAAGGCCUCGCGCGAUUGGAGCGGCCGAUAUCAGAUUAGGUAGUUGGUGGGGUAAAGGCCUACCAAGCCGACGAUCUGUAGCUGGUCUGAGAGGACGACCAGCCACACUGGGACUGAGACACGGCCCAGACUCCUACGGGAGGCAGCAGUGGGGAAUUUUGGACAAUGGGCGAAAGCCUGAUCCAGCCAUUCCGCGUGAGUGAAGAAGGCC
RNAcentral lists this ribosomal RNA (384 nucleotides) under uncultured bacterium. RNAcentral describes it as "bacterial SSU rRNA". It matches the Rfam family "Bacterial small subunit ribosomal RNA", at positions 30 to 416 of the family's 1533-position model. The record is from RNAcentral.